This 497-nucleotide ribosomal RNA is filed under the name uncultured bacterium. RNAcentral's name for it is "partial 16S ribosomal RNA". It matches the Rfam family "Bacterial small subunit ribosomal RNA", at positions 28 to 507 of the family's 1533-position model. The record is from RNAcentral.
GACGAACGCUGGCGGCGUGCCUAAUACAUGCAAGUUGAGCGAUGAAGAUUGGUGCUUGCACCAAUUUGAAGAGCAGCGAACGGGUGAGUAACGCGUGGGGAAUCUGCCUUUGAUCGGGGGACAACAUUUGGAAACGAAUGCUAAUACCGCAUAACAACUUUAAACAUAAGUUUUAAGUUUGAAAGAUGCAAUUGCCUCACUCAAAGAUGAUCCCGCGUUGUAUUAGCUAGUUGGUGAGGUAAAGGCUCACCAAGGCGAUGAUACAUAGCCGACCUGAGAGGGUGAUCGGCCACAAUGGGACUGAGAAACGGCCCAAACUCCUAAGGGAGGCAGCAGUAGGGAAUCUUCGGCAAUGGACGAAAGUCUGACCGAGCAACGCCGCGUGAGUGAAGAAGGUUUUCGGAGCGUAAAACUCUGUUGGUAGAGAAGAACGUUGGUGAGAGUGGAAAGCUCAUCAAGUGACGGUAACUACCCAGAAAGGGACGGCUAACUACGUG